AUUGAGAACAACGUACAACUCUUAUCGAUAAGCCAUUGGAGGGCAAGUCUGGUGCCAGCAGCCGCGGUAAUUCCAGCUCCAAUAGCGUAUAUUAACGUUGUUGCAGUUAAAAAGCUCGUAGUUGAAGUGAGGGAGUGUGUAGUAGGACCGACUUGAUCGGAACUGCUGCAACCUCCCCCCUCCAAUCGGUGUAGUGGGGUAUUCAGUUAUUCUACUACUCCUUUGGUCGUUUACUGUGAGAAAAUUAGAGUGUUCAAAGCGGGCGUUUGUUUGAAUAGAUUAGCAUGGAAUAAUGAUUGAAGGCUUUCGUGUUCGAUUUGAUUGGUUUGUUCAUGGAAGCAAGGUUAAAAGGAACAGUUGGGGGUAUUCAUAUUCACUAGUUAGAGGUGAAAUUCUCGGAUUUAUGGAAGAUGAACAAGUGCGAAAGCA
RNAcentral lists this ribosomal RNA (429 nucleotides) under Blastocystis sp. RNAcentral's name for it is "SSU rRNA". It matches the Rfam family "Eukaryotic small subunit ribosomal RNA", at positions 513 to 953 of the family's 1831-position model. Lineage: Eukaryota; Bigyra; Opalinata; Blastocystidae. The record is from RNAcentral.